RNAcentral lists this ribosomal RNA (213 nucleotides) under Triticum aestivum (bread wheat). RNAcentral's name for it is "partial small subunit ribosomal RNA". The record is from RNAcentral. Lineage: Eukaryota; Viridiplantae; Streptophyta; Magnoliopsida; Poales; Poaceae.
AUGGCAACAACGUUUUCUUCCAUCCUGUGCAAGAUCCUUCUCGUUAUUGUAGCCAUGCUUGCCCUCCUUUGCUCUGCCUAUGCAAGAGACGCAUCAGAAUAUGGGCAGUGUUUUUCCCGGCCUGAAUGCAGCAACUACUGCAAGCAGCAAGGAUACCUCAGGGGAGGGGAGGUCAUGCCGCCCAACUUCAUGGACUGUUGCUGUCUCAUAUGA